Molecule: long non-coding RNA, 794 nt
Filed under: Canis lupus dingo (dingo)
Lineage: Eukaryota; Metazoa; Chordata; Mammalia; Carnivora; Canidae
Description: lncRNA (ENSCAFG00020015387.1)
Source: RNAcentral
UGGUCUCAGUUACAGUUUUGAUACUGAGUGGCGGAUCUGUGGGGUUUGGGUGUUGUCGGGUGUUGUCGUCGUUCCCACCCCCAGGCUGUGGACAGCUAGAUAAACAGAAAACAGCUAUUUGUCCCCAUUGAUAGGCCUGUGUUAGUCUGAGAAGGUUUGACUUUUUUUUUUUUUUUUUUUUUUUGAGCUCAGGACUGGUUGGUGGCCCUUGACCCGGUGUCUGCACUUGGCUAGGAUCUGGAUGCUGCCAGCCAUCCUGCAAAAGGGAGGAGCAUGCUGCUCUAGCUCCUAGGAUCUAGAAAAGGAAGGAGAGGCUUGGGACAGGGUAUGUCGCGCACGUAGUAGCGUGUUGGAAGUUCAUGAAGUUCCUUUAGGAAGAGCUUGAAGAUGCCUUCUUGUCAUCAUAGCGGCUCUGCUUCAUUGACAUUUUAUGGAGACUGGAGAGGAGAGAGUCUUGUACACCCUGGGAGCUGGCAGCAGAGGACGCCUCGGAGCAGCCUGGAGGUGUACCUUUGCAGUGCUCUUAAGCAGUACGCCUUUCUCCGCCCCUGCUUCUUGCAGGGGGCCCUGAAGACUGAGUGCAGGACCCACUGGCGGACUGUUGAGUUGAUGUUUUAUCUGGGCAAGUGUGACUUUCCUGAACUGCACACCCUAUGGAAACUUUUUGUUCUUGCCCUUAAAAAAGCCUGAAAUAAGCAAAUACUCAGACCAGCACAACUGCCAUCAUUACCACCACCACGCACACCUCUCUGAUGUGUAAUAAAAGAGACCUGCAGGCGUAAUUUGUUAUGUAA